RNAcentral lists this ribosomal RNA (466 nucleotides) under Streptococcus sanguinis. RNAcentral describes it as "bacterial SSU rRNA". It matches the Rfam family "Bacterial small subunit ribosomal RNA", at positions 28 to 476 of the family's 1533-position model. The record is from RNAcentral. Lineage: Bacteria; Bacillati; Bacillota; Bacilli; Lactobacillales; Streptococcaceae.
GACGAACGCGGCGGCGUGCCUAAUACAUGCAAGUAGAACGCUGAAGAGAAGAGCUUGCUCUUCUUGGAUGAGUUGCGAACGGGUGAGUAACGCGUAGGUAACCUGCCUGGUAGCGGGGGAUAACUAUUGGAAACGAUAGCUAAUACCGCAUAAAAUUGAUUAUUGCAUGAUAAUUAAUUGAAAGAUGCAAUUGCAUCACUACCAGAUGGACCUGCGUUGUAUUAGCUAGUUGGUGAGGUAACGGCUCACCAAGGCGACGAUACAUAGCCGACCUGAGAGGGUGAUCGGCCACACUGGGACUGAGACACGGCCCAGACUCCUACGGGAGGCAGCAGUAGGGAAUCUUCGGCAAUGGGGGGAACCCUGACCGAGCAACGCCGCGUGAGUGAAGAAGGUUUUCGGAUCGUAAAGCUCUGUUGUAAGAGAAGAACGGGUGUGAGAGUGGAAAGUUCACACUGUGGGCGGU